ACACACGCGCGCGCACGCACGCAGACAUACACACACAUGUAUUAUUUCACAUUAUUUUACAUUUAUAUAUUCCGGGCCGAUUCCGAUCGGAGAAACGAAUCCCUCCUUCGUUACACUCGGAGAAACGGAUCAGGAAUUUCCGUUUUCCUUUUACUUAUCAACACGAUACAUACACAAACACACACACGCACGCACGCACGCACAUAUAUUCACUCUAUCACACAUCAUGUAAACACGUGUAUAUGCGCGUAUACAGUUUUUACCCCAGUUUAAAAUAUUCCAUCUGUCUACCUCAGUGAACCACGAUAAACGAUAAGUGAUAGGACAGACCAAGACGAAUCUCACGGACGACGAUGAUGAUGUUUCGGGGAGAGGAGAGAUCAGAAUCAGAGAGACGAAAAGAUGAUAUGAUAUCGCCAUGGCUAUUCUUCGCAUGAAUUUUUACUCAUUUAUGAAAAAUGAUUUGUGAAUACGAAAGAACGAUAUUAUAUCGCGAGCGACAGACAUCGUUCAACCGGUUCCAACCGGUGCUUUCACGGUCUCGUCGAAGCGAUGAAUUCGUUCGUUGAAAAAAAAAAAAAACGAGAGAUUGCCCUAGCGAAUCGACGAAACCUAGACGACGAGGAUGCUAGAGGAUCAAUUGUUCGAUUCUUUUUAUUUUCUAAAACGCUGUUUGAGAGAAAGAGGGAGAGAGAGAGAGAGAGAGAGAGAGAACAGAGAGAAAAGAGAAAACGGUGACCGUCGCGUAUAUGCACGCGACUCCCGAAAAGAUAUUAUUAUUAUUAUUAUAUUAUAUUAUAUUAUUAUUAUUAUAUAUAAAUGUUGAGGAAAAAUAUAUAUUGUCUAGAUUUAUAGAGAAGUUAGUAUACCACGACACGUACGUACGUACGUACACAAUACGAAUAA
This is a long non-coding RNA of Apis florea (little honeybee), 906 nucleotides long. Lineage: Eukaryota; Metazoa; Arthropoda; Insecta; Hymenoptera; Apidae. The record is from RefSeq and is a predicted model, not a curated record.